CAGUCGCCGCGGGAAUACGAAGGGGGCUAGCGUUGCUCGGAAUUACUGGGCGUAAAGGGAGCGUAGGCGGACAUUUAAGUCAGGGGUGAAAUCCCAGAGCUCAACUCUGGAACUGCCUUUGAUACUGGGUGUCUUGAGUGUGAUAGAGGUAUGUGGAACUCCGAGUGUAGAGGUGAAAUUCGUAGAUAUUCGGAAGAACACCAGUGGCGAAGGCGACAUACUGGAUCAUUACUGACGCUGAGGCUCGAAAGCGUGGGGAGCAAACAGGAUUAGAUACCCGCGUAGUCCCUGUCUCUUAUAC
This 301-nucleotide ribosomal RNA is filed under the name uncultured bacterium. RNAcentral's name for it is "partial 16S ribosomal RNA". It matches the Rfam family "Bacterial small subunit ribosomal RNA", at positions 509 to 807 of the family's 1533-position model. The record is from RNAcentral.